Molecule: ribosomal RNA, 795 nt
Filed under: Triticum aestivum (bread wheat)
Lineage: Eukaryota; Viridiplantae; Streptophyta; Magnoliopsida; Poales; Poaceae
Description: partial small subunit ribosomal RNA
Source: RNAcentral
AUGGAGAACAGGAUGGUCAUUGCAGAUUGUGGGGCUAUAAACUUGCUGGUUGGUCUUCUUCAUUCACCAGAUGCCAAGGUCCAAGAAAAUGCAGUGACAUGCCUCCUCAAUCUGUCCAUCAGUGAUAACAAUAAGAUUGCCAUCGUGAAUGCAUAUGCUGUUGAUCCUCUCAUCCAUGUCCUGGAAACAGGGAACCCUAAAGCUAAAGAGAAUUCAGCAGCUACUUUGUCCAGUCUCUCGGUUACUGAAGAAAACAAAGUGAGGAUCGGGCGGUCUGGUGCCAUCAAGCCUCUCGUGGACUUGCUGGUAAGUGGGACCCCGCAAGGAAAGAGAGAUGCAGCUAUUGCAUUGUCUCAUUUAUCCAUACUUCAUGAGAACAAGGGUCGCAUUGUGCAAGCUGAUGCGGUGAAGCAACUAGUUCAGCUAAUGGAUCCUGCUCUUGGAAUAACCGGCAAAGCUGUUGCUGUCUUGGCAAGUCUUGCUAUGAUACCAGAAGGGAGAACUGCGAUUUGGGAGACGCGAGGUAUUCCAGCUCUUGUUGAAGUUGUCGAACUGGGUUCAGCGAGAGGGAAGGAAAAUGCUGCCGCGGCAUUGCUUCAGCUAUGCACAAACAGCAGCCGAUCUUGCAGCGUAGUUCUUAGAGAGGGCGCCGUGCCCCCUUUAGCCGCACUGUCACAGUCAGGAACACCGCGAGCAAGAGAAAAGGCACAGGCUCUUCUCAGCUACUUCCACAGCCUGAGACGUGGGAACUCAUUAAGCGUUUCCAGGUGGUUGACCGGUGCUGCGCAUUUAUAG